Molecule: ribosomal RNA, 501 nt
Filed under: uncultured bacterium
Lineage: Bacteria
Description: partial 16S ribosomal RNA
Rfam family: Bacterial small subunit ribosomal RNA
Source: RNAcentral
AUUGAACGCUGGCGGCAGGCUUAACACAUGCAAGUCGAGCGGAGAUGAGGUGCUUGCACCUUAUCUUAGCGGCGGACGGGUGAGUAAUGCUUAGGAAUCUGCCUAUUAGUGGGGGACAACAUUCCGAAAGGAAUGCUAAUACCGCAUACGUCCUACGGGAGAAAGCAGGGGAUCUUCGGACCUUGCGCUAAUAGAUGAGCCUAAGGCGGAUUAGCUAGUUGGUGGGGUAAAGGCCGACAAAGGCGACUAUCUGUGGCGGGUCUGAUAGGAUGAUCCGCCACACUGGGACUGAGACACGGCCCAGACUCCUACGGGAGGCAGCAGUGGGGAAUAUUGGACAAUGGGGGAAACCCUGAUCCAGCCAUGCCGCGUGUGUGAAGAAGGCCUUAUGGUUGUAAAGCACUUUAAGCGAGGAGGAGGCUACUGAGACUAAUACUCUUGGAUAGUGGACAUUACUCGCAGAAUAAGCACCGGCUAACUCUGUGCCAGCCGCCGCCGUAA